UACGUAGGGAGCAAGCGUUGUCCGGAAUCAUUGGGCGUAAAGCGCGCGUAGGUGGCUUCGUAAGUCCGUUGUGAAAGUCAAAGGCUCAACCUUUGAAAGCCGAUGGAUACUGCGGAGCUAGAGUACGGAAGAGGCGAGUGGAAUUCCUGGUGUAGCGGUGGAAUGCGCAGAUAUCAGGAGGAACACCGGUGGCGAAGGCGGUUCUCUGGGCAUGUCCUGACGCUGAGGAGCGAAAGUGUGGGGAGCGAACAGG
Molecule: ribosomal RNA, 253 nt
Filed under: uncultured bacterium
Lineage: Bacteria
Description: partial 16S ribosomal RNA
Rfam family: Bacterial small subunit ribosomal RNA
Source: RNAcentral